This 905-nucleotide long non-coding RNA is filed under the name Anas platyrhynchos platyrhynchos (common mallard). Its description in RNAcentral is "lncRNA (ENSAPLG00000017816.1)". Lineage: Eukaryota; Metazoa; Chordata; Aves; Anseriformes; Anatidae. The record is from RNAcentral.
GAUCGUUUUGGAAGCUAAGCAGGGUCCACCCGGGUUUCCUCUUGGAUGGGUUCCCUAACAUGAGUUGUAUGGGGUUGUAACCAGGAGGGGGAUUUUUACCCAAAUCGCAUUUUUUUUUCCCCCAAAAUUGCUAACCCAUAUGCAGGGGGGUGUAGGGGUUAAUUAUUGCCCCCCAGGGCAAUUAAUUGCAAUUAAUUAGGGGUUAUUACCCCCAGACUGUCUUGGAAGCUAAGCAGGGUCCGCCCGGGUUUCCUCUUGGAUGGGUUCCCCAACGCGAUCUCCAUGGGGUUGUAACCAGGAGGGGGAUUUUUCCCCAAAUCAUGUUUUUUUUUCCCCAAAAAAAUUCUAACCCAUGUGCUGUGUGGUUAUAGGGAUUAAUUAUUGCCCUCCCAGGGCAGCAUUCCUGCCCCGGGGGCAAUUAAUUAGACUUAAUUAGGGGUUAUUACCCCAGAUCGUUUUGGAAGCUAAGCAGGGUCCGCCCCGGUUUCCUCUUGGAUGGGUUCCCCAACGCGAUCUCUACCGGGUUGUAACCGGGGCUUGGAACUUCACCAAAAAAUGCCUUUUUUCCCCCAAAAAUGAAUUUCUAACCCAAUUUUUUUAAAUUUUUUACCUCUUUUAGGUGCGAAGGCCGCCCCCGACGGAGGAACCGAGCGCGGCCAAGCGCCUGCUGAUCCUGCUGCUGGCCGUGGUGGGCGCCCAGGUCUACAGCGCGCCGGGGGACGCGGCACCCAUGGAGCUGCCCAGGACGGCGGUGACAACGUGCCCACCCAACGGGACCCUCGUAAGGACGCACUUGGGGGCACCCAUGGGUGCCUCCUGCCCGCUGCUGCUGUCGCCCACCCUGGACCCCCCCAACGGCACGGCCGGGGGGGCUGCCCGCUGAUGGGGACCACCCGGGACCCUCC